AGUGAACGCUGGCGGUAGGCCUAACACAUGCAAGUCGAACGGCAGCACAGUAAGAGCUUGCUCUUACGGGUGGCGAGUGGCGGACGGGUGAGGAAUACAUCGGAAUCUACUUUUUCGUGGGGGAUAACGUAGGGAAACUUACGCUAAUACCGCAUACGACCUACGGGUGAAAGCAGGGGAUCUUCGGACCUUGCGCGAUUGAAUGAGCCGAUGUCGGAUUAGCUAGUUGGCGGGGUAAAGGCCCACCAAGGCGACGAUCCGUAGCUGGUCUGAGAGGAUGAUCAGCCACACUGGAACUGAGACACGGCCCAGACUCCUACGGGAGGCAGCAGUGGGGAAUAUUGGACAAUGGGCGCAAGCCUGAUCCAGCCAUACCGCGUAGGUGAAGAAGGACUUCGGGUUGUAAAGCCCUUUUGUUGGGAAAGAAAAGCAGCAGGUUAAUACCCCGCUGUUCUGACGGUACCCAAAGAAUAAGCACCGGCUAACUUCGUG
This 492-nucleotide ribosomal RNA is filed under the name uncultured bacterium. RNAcentral's name for it is "partial 16S ribosomal RNA". It matches the Rfam family "Bacterial small subunit ribosomal RNA", at positions 29 to 507 of the family's 1533-position model. The record is from RNAcentral.